Heterocephalus glaber (naked mole-rat) is the source of this 943-nucleotide long non-coding RNA. RefSeq lists it as uncharacterized. NCBI's taxonomy places the organism in Eukaryota, Metazoa, Chordata, Mammalia, Rodentia, Bathyergidae. The record is from RefSeq and is a predicted model, not a curated record.
CAGAUCAUCCAGAUUGUAUGAAUUCCAACUGAGAUCUCACAGGAGGAACAACCUAUUCUCAAUCACCCGUCUUCAUAAAGCAAGUUGUGUAUAGAUGGCAUAUCAAUGCAUGUACCUUUACAGAGAAGAUGUAAUUUAAGAAAGGUGGGAAAGAGAGGAAGGAAUAAAAGGACAGGACCUCUGCUAUCCCCACAAUGAAGAUUUCAGCUUAAGAAACUGGAGGAAAACUAGGUGCCUGAAGUUCAUUUAUAAGAGAGAGAAUUGAGUCAGAACAAAAAACUUUUGCCAAGGAGAAGAGUCAAGUCUCCAACAAGUUUGGACAGAGAAGAGAAUUUGAGCAAGAACAAGGCAGGAAUGAUAUCGCCAUAGAUGACCCUGCCACACUGGCUUAUGGUAAUUUUCAUCUCUCUUCACCAUUCUCUGAAAUCUGCUCCACUGGCUCCCUGACCAUAACAAUGGAUCCCAACAUACACAUGUUUAUAGCAGCAGAAUUCAUAAUGGCUAAAUCUUGGAAGCAGCCUAUACAUCCAUCAACAGAUGAAUGGAUAAAGGAAGUAUGAUAUUUACACAUGGACUUCCAGGAAAAUGGCAGACUUGUAAGCAAAAACUAAAGUGCCUCUUCAAGAUUCAGAAUCUGGACACUGGAAAAUAACAACUUGAGGAAGAAAAGAAGAAGGGAGGUAGAUUCUGAGACCCAGGAAGGAUCCAAUGGGUAAAUUGCAGCCUUCAGAGAAACUGAAGAAACAGAACACAAGGUGGAAAGAGGGAGGAGGAUUCUGCACUUUCUUCCUGGCUCCUGGCUCCUGAGAAAAGAAGACCUAAAUCUACAGAGACAUAGUGAAAGCACAAUGGAAUUCUACACUGCCAUAAAUAGAUAAACUUGAGUCAUUUGUAGGAAAAUGGAUGCACCUUGAGACCAUAAUGUUAAGUGAAAUAAAUCAGA